ACUCCUACGGGAGGCAGCAGUGGGGAAUAUUGCACAAUGGGCGCAAGCCUGAUGCAGCCAUGCCGCGUGUGUGAAGAAGGCCUUCGGGUUGUAAAGCACUUUCAGUCGUGAGGAAGGUAGUGUAGUUAAUAGCUGCAUUAUUUGACGUUAGCGACAGAAGAAGCACCGGCUAACUCCGUGCCAGCAGCCGCGGUAAUACGGAGGGUGCGAGCGUUAAUCGGAAUUACUGGGCGUAAAGCGCAUGCAGGUGGUUGUUAAGUCAGAUGUGAAAGCCCGGGGCUCAACCUCGGAAUAGCAUUUGAAACUGGCAGACUAGAGUACUGUAGAGGGGGUUAGAAUUUCAGGUGUAGCGGUGAAAUGCGUAGAGAUCUGAAGGAAUACCGGUGGCGAAGGCGGCCCCUGGACAGAUACUGACACUCAGAUGCGAAAGCGU
RNAcentral lists this ribosomal RNA (433 nucleotides) under uncultured bacterium. RNAcentral's name for it is "bacterial SSU rRNA". It matches the Rfam family "Bacterial small subunit ribosomal RNA", at positions 335 to 762 of the family's 1533-position model. The record is from RNAcentral.